GAUGAACGCUGGCGGCGUGCCUAAUACAUGCAAGUCGAGCGAACGGACGAGAAGCUUGCUUCUCUGAUGUUAGCGGCGGACGGGUGAGUAACACGUGGAUAACCUACCUAUAAGACUGGGAUAACUUCGGGAAACCGGAGCUAAUACCGGAUAAUAUUUUGAACCGCAUGGUUCAAAAGUAAAAGACGGUCUUGCUGUCACUUAUAGAUGGAUCCGCGCUGCAUUAGCUAGUUGGUAAGGUAACGGCUUACCAAGGCAACGAUGCAUAGCCGACCUGAGAGGGUGAUCGGUCACACUGGAACUGAGACACGGUCCAGACUCCUACGGGAGGCAGCAGUAGGGAAUCUUCCGCAAUGGGCGAAAGCCUGACGGAGCAACGCCGCGUGAGUGAUGAAGGUCUUCGGAUCGUAAAACUCUGUUAUUAGGGAAGAACAUAUGUGUAAGUAACUGUGCACAUCUUGACGGUACCUAAUCAGAAAGCCACGGCUAACUACGUG
This 497-nucleotide ribosomal RNA is filed under the name uncultured bacterium. Its description in RNAcentral is "partial 16S ribosomal RNA". It matches the Rfam family "Bacterial small subunit ribosomal RNA", at positions 28 to 507 of the family's 1533-position model. The record is from RNAcentral.